UACGGAGGGGGCUAGCGUUGUUCGGAAUUACUGGGCGUAAAGCGCACGUAGGCGGACUGGAAAGUUGGGGGUGAAAUCCCGGGGCUCAACCCCGGAACUGCCUUCAAAACUAUCAGUCUGGAGUUCGAGAGAGGUGAGUGGAAUUCCGAGUGUAGAGGUGAAAUUCGUAGAUAUUCGGAGGAACACCAGUGGCGAAGGCGGCUCACUGGCUCGAUACUGACGCUGAGGUGCGAAAGCGUGGGGAGCAAACAGG
RNAcentral lists this ribosomal RNA (253 nucleotides) under uncultured bacterium. RNAcentral describes it as "partial 16S ribosomal RNA". It matches the Rfam family "Bacterial small subunit ribosomal RNA", at positions 524 to 776 of the family's 1533-position model. The record is from RNAcentral.